AGUGAACGCUGGCGGUAGGCCUAACACAUGCAAGUCGAACGGCAGCGCGGGUAGCUUGCUACCUGGCGGCGAGUGGCGGACGGGUGAGUAAUAUGUAGGAAUCUAACUAGAGGAGCGAGAUAACUUGGGGAAACUCAAGCUAAUAACACAUAAUCCCCACGGGGGAAAGCAGGGGACAUUCGGGACUUGCGCCUUAUGAUGAGGGCACAUCGGAUUAGCUUGUUGGUGGGGUAAAGGCCUACCAAGGCGACGAUCCGUAGCUGGUCUGAGAGGAUGAUCAGCCACACUGGAACUGAGACACGGUCCAGACUCCUACGGGAGGCAGCAGUGGGGAAUAUUGGACAAUGGGGGGAACCCUGAUCCAGCAAUGCCGCGUGUGUGAAGAAGGCCUUAGGGUUGUAAAGCACUUUCAGUGGAGAGGAAGUUGCGUGUGCUAAUAUCAUACGUAAUUGACGUUACCCACAGAAGAAGCACCGGCUAACUCUGUGCCAGCAGCCGCCGUAA
Molecule: ribosomal RNA, 504 nt
Filed under: uncultured bacterium
Lineage: Bacteria
Description: partial 16S ribosomal RNA
Rfam family: Bacterial small subunit ribosomal RNA
Source: RNAcentral